GCUAACUGACUCCCAGAUCUAUACAUGUAUAGAUGAAGGUAAUUUAGUCACUUUCCUGAAUCACAUUGGUGAUAAACACCACUCUCUGUAAUCCUACCAAGUGCAGCGAGUGUGCAGUGUCUUCCUACUUUGUUCAGCGCCAUCCUGCAUUUCCUGAAGCUUCUGAUCCUCCCUUCCCUCAGCACUCCCCCAUUGCCAUUUGCAAAAAUCUACUGUCUUGUUGAAUAACUGAGCUUCCUGGGAGCUACCCUUUCCCUACUCUGGGCCUCAGAAUGAUAUCUUCCAUCAAUUACUUAGUUUUUGUUGUGGCUAAUGACUGAAUAAACCUAAUGGGUCUGAUAAAGUCACCCAGUGCCUCUGCACAAACUGGUCUGACCCUACCAGAUAUCUCCAGGCCAAUUGAUUGGCAUCAUUCUGUCUUAUUUCAUGCGAGUGCUGCAUGUUAUGCAGAGAAUGUAAUCAAUGAGCAUUGUCUGGAUGGCAUUGUGCAGAACCAGGACACUCUUUGGCCUACAGCAAGCUGCUCAAGGCACUGGGCAGAUCCCAGGAUGCUAACAGGAAGCAAAAUGUGUGAAAUAUUGUAAUCAGGAAUGCAGCCUCACAUUUAGACCCGUACCAAAUGAGCAAACAGGUCUGGUUGCACCAUGAGGAAGUGUUGUAUUUACACUCAAGAUAAAGAUCCUCAUGAGUCAGCUGUAUAGCCUCCCCAAGGGCUUCAGGCCUCUCUCCUUCACCUCCUUCACCCAGACGGACACUCGAGUACAGUGUGGGCCUCAGGCCAAUGCACUGUGGAAAACUAUUUGUCCUGAUGCAGCAAGUUAUCCUGAGCCCACUGCUGCUGAACUCCAGCCCUCCAUUACUGUCGAGGCAGUAACAUUCUUCCUUUACCAAUCUUAUGCAGAGCUUGGAUCAUCUCAGCUUUGGAAAACAAAUUACUGAUUGAAGACUGUGAAAUGGACAGACAAGUUAUUGAAACAGAGAAUGUAAUAUUCUACAUUCAAGAUACCGAAGUUGAAAAUUUCCCAGGUCUCCAGUUCCCUAAUGCAGAUACGGAGAAUAUCUCUGUCUUUGACCCAGCGAUUAGGAUCAGUCUGCCACCAACUCUCCUGGACAACAUCAACAUUACAACGAAAACGAUACGGAGUAAAGUAAUAUUAUUCAGGGAUGCAAGACUGUUCCAGGU
Molecule: non-coding RNA, 1183 nt
Organism: Chiloscyllium plagiosum (whitespotted bambooshark)
Lineage: Eukaryota; Metazoa; Chordata; Chondrichthyes; Orectolobiformes; Hemiscylliidae
Source: RefSeq, a predicted model, not a curated record